Molecule: long non-coding RNA, 2675 nt
Filed under: Homo sapiens (human)
Lineage: Eukaryota; Metazoa; Chordata; Mammalia; Primates; Hominidae
Description: HSALNT0295666
Source: RNAcentral
CACAACUCACUGUUCACUCUUUCCUUGGAAGUGUGUGAGAUGAGGUUUAGUAACGGUGAGGUCCCCAGAAGAGCUAUGAAGGGAAUAAUUUGAUUUUGGGAAAGAAGGGGACAGAGUCUCAUGAAUCAAGUAAAUGAGGGGUUAAAAGCCACAUUGAAGUGUGCCUUGCUAGCUGCUUGAUCCUCCAAGAGCAGCGGGGCUUCACUAGAGGUAAGGGGAGGAGGGGGAGGAAACGGGGCCAAGUUACAUGUAGACCUGGCCAUGACGCUGCCCCGAUGUUAUAGGAAGAUGGGAUAGGAGGAAGCGGGGGAAAAACCUGUGGGAGAAACAGAUUCUUCAGUCCGCAUUCUUCUGCUCUAACGUCACUCCUACAACCCAUGUAAGCAAAAUGGGGGCCUCUGUCCCCUUUCCAGAAAUCAUCUCUUUCCUUCACAGCUCUUCUCUGGACCUUAUCACUGCUGUUAAACCAUCCCUAGGGCAGAGGAAUUCUUGCUCUCUCUAGUCCCUUGCCACUCUGUCAUGGAGAUUGUCCCCAGCUCUAGACUGUAGUUACCUAGCCUCUUCCUUGAAGAAUGUGUAUCCCAGUUGAGUGAGGGAAAGUGUGCAAGAGUGCCACCUUCAUGUCAUUCUAUGGUCUCUUGGGGUAUGAGGUGAGAACCCAGGCUUCCAGACUUCCUGUCCUUCAAAUAGCUGCACUCUCCACAGCCCUAAGCAUGGUCAGCAGAGCCAUCCAUUGUCACAAGUAUUGAAGUCUAAGGUAGAAUUAUGCUUUCUUUUUACAAGUCUCUAUCUUUGUAUUUUACCAGCAUUUUUCCUUUUCUUUUUUUCUUCCUUGUUGCUCCCACAUAAUGAAAAAAGACAAAAGCACAAAUGACAUGUGUAUCCCAACAUGUCAAUUAUCUGUGGCUCCCAGGGGAGCCAGAAGAUGGAGGGAGACACUAGAGAGGAGAAUGACAGGUGAAAGAAGCAGAAAAGAAAGAUCGGGGACCUCACAACAGUAAGAGAGGAGCUGGGCACUGUGCUCCUGGGCUUCAGGCUCUAAAACCAACAGCUUCCAGUUCUCCAGCAGUUACUGGAACAUCCAGGCCCUAGGGUGGUGAAAUGAGCCCAGCUUUGAAACCAGAUGGAUCUGGAUUCAAAUUCUAACUCUGUUACUUCUUGAUUAUGAGGCUCUGGGCAAGGCACAUGCUUUCCGAGUAUCAGUUUUUUUCAUCUGCAAGCUGCAGAGCUAUUGGAUGGGUGAGGACAAUAUGGAAAAUGCCUGUCAGUCAGAAAGUGACCACUGCAGCUACUGUUACUGGUUUGACUCUGGGCAGUGAGCCGCUAGCUCAGUUGGAAGGAGCACUGUGUGAAUGAGGCCACCGGGGUGGGGUCACUGUCACUUAGCUAGAUCCAGGCCACAGGCUGUGCUGGACCUCUCUCUUCAGAGGAGAGAGCCAGAAGGGAUGAAAGCAUGGUCCCUGGUCUUCAAGAACUUUAGAGCUUAGCAUGGAACCAGGCUUCCCACUAGAAAAAUCGCUUAAGGUGCACCCUUGUGGUAGGCUGCUGGCAUGAGUUCUGUUGAAGCAUUUGUAUUGAACCUGGGCACUGUGACAGGAGGAUGGGAAGGUGCUUACGUUCAUUUCCCUUCCUCCCAGUGCUUCUCCUCCCUCACUUCAUCAUUUUAGCCCCUCUGCCUGCAAUAUUUCCCUUCCGUGCCCCCGGUAACUGUGAUGCGUGGCAAAUGGGCUGGCUCAGUAGCUGUGUGGGGCAACUUUCUCAGCACACAGCUGCCCCCAGACACUUUCAGGGUGCACUUAUUCUCCCUCCCUUUCCACUCCCAACCGCUCUGCUCCCUUCUUUUCUUACACAGAUGAAGCAAAGGGAAGUGCCCUCCGGAGGCCCUAGGAUGGGGAGACGGGAUAUUAAAGCCAUGACAGCAAACAGCCCCUUUCUCCUAAGGUUCCUGAUUUGAAGUGGCAAAACAAGGCAGUGGCAUAGUCUCCUGUCCUAUGUCCUUGGCAUGCAGCCUCCACCCAGCUCUGGCUGCAGAGGGCCGCACUCCGCUUGUACCGCAAUUCAUGCACAGUCCAGACUUAUACAGCAGCCGGCAACCCUAAGGGCAGGAUGAUUCCGAGACACACCAAAUCUUUGGCUUCAGGUCACAUGUUGCUCUGGAGAACCGAGAAGGGUGAGCAGACACCAAUCAUGACCCCAAACAGCAAGAGGACAGAAGGGAUCCCCCCUACUCCACAGCUUGACGGCAGAGCAGUGACCAGAAUAUAUGCUCAGGAAGGCCAAAGAGAUGAAGCCGCAGCUGCCUCUUUUUUUUUUUUGAGACAGUCUCAUUCUGUUGCCCGGGCUGGAGUGCAGUGGUGCGAUCUCGGCUCACUGUAACCUCCACCUCCCAGGUUCAAGCAAUUCUCGUACCUCAGCCUCCCAGGUAGCUGGAACUAUACAGGUGUACCAUCACACCCGGCUAAUUAUUUUUUGUCUUUUUUUGUAGAGAUGGGGUUUCGCCAUGUUGGUCAGGCUGGUCUCGAACUCCUGGCCUCAGGUGAUCCACGCACCUCCGCCUCCCAAAGUCCUGGGAUUAGAGGCGUGAGCCACCGUGCCCAGCCAGGCUUGCUUCUCUGAGCCAUACCCUUCUGUUGGAACAAGCAUCCUUUCUAUUAAAAGCAAUAAAUCUCCUCUUA